GCGCCGUUAGUCUAGCGGUAGGAUGUUGGCCUUCCAAGCCAAUGACCCGGGUUCGAAUCCCGGACGGCGCA
Molecule: transfer RNA, 71 nt
Filed under: Promethearchaeota archaeon
Lineage: Archaea; Promethearchaeati; Promethearchaeota
Description: Candidatus Lokiarchaeota archaeon (microbial mat metagenome) tRNA-Gly
Rfam family: tRNA
About the family: Transfer RNA (tRNA) molecules are approximately 80 nucleotides in length. Their secondary structure includes four short double-helical elements and three loops (D, anti-codon, and T loops). Further hydrogen bonds mediate the characteristic L-shaped molecular structure. tRNAs have two regions of fundamental functional importance: the anti-codon, which is responsible for specific mRNA codon recognition, and the 3' end, to which the tRNAs corresponding amino acid is attached (by aminoacyl-tRNA synthetases). tRNAs cope with the degeneracy of the genetic code in two manners: having more than one tRNA (with a specific anti-codon) for a particular amino acid; and 'wobble' base-pairing, i.e. permitting non-standard base-pairing at the 3rd anti-codon position.
Source: RNAcentral